UCACCACACUCGGACGAUCACCCCAUCACCACUUGGACGACCACCACCACCACCACCGGCGGCUCGGCUUGCUCUCGGGGGACUCACGGCGAGGAGAGAGGAAGAGAACCAACGGAAAGAGAAAGGAGAGGGAGAGGGAGAGAGAGGAGGCGUGAGAGAAGAAGAGAGAAGAGGAAAAGGGAAGCUUGACGGCUAGGGUUUUCUAGUCUCUCUAAAUCUCUGCAGAGCUUCGCUCCAGUUUCAGAAUGAGAGAAAAAUGAGAGGAGGCAGCUUUAUUUAUAGGAAAAGGAGGGAACCCUAGGUCAUUUACCCUAAUGGGCUGCAGUCUUAACGGGCUCUCCUUAAGAAAAUUUUUGGGCUGGGAACCGGGCCGUUACAAUUCUCCCCUGUUAAUCGGAAUUCGUCCCCGAAUUCCAAGCCCUAGACUUCCAAACUUAACAUCCGAUAACAAAAGGAACUCACACAAUCACACAUCAUACAAGGGAGGCACACAAGGCGAGAACAACUUUGCUCGGGGAUCUUUUAAAAACCCAUGAAUGAAUUAAGCUCAAAAAGAAAUUUUGCAAAUACAAUGGAUCCGAUCAAAAUCAUAAUAACGUAUAGAUAUAAUGGGUGGUUUUGAAAUCAUUUUCAGGAGUGUUAGAAGAAACAAAACUUUUACAAACUCUUUUCUUUUAAUGAAAACAAGUUUUUUUUUUUCGAAAACGUCGGAAAUGCUGAUCCCUUAGGACAGAACUAAGGGAUCUUAACCCGCUCUGAUACCAAUUGUAACAGCCCGAUCCCCCGGCGUCCGACCGGAGUUAUCGAAGGGGCGUUAUGGACACGUGUCUACUCAUUUAGACAACCCUACGUGUCCCGUUACUGGUCCCGAGAGACGAGCGCAUAACCUUCUUUGAAAUACCGUCACACUCACAUCCAUAUACUUCUACUUACAGUCCUGCACACAGGGAAAAAUGGAAAUGGAGGGGGUGAGCAACAAGUUACUCAGUGAAGUGGCUCUAGACCAGCCUGCCCGCAUGACACUCUAUACUACUCUAUGCGGGAACUAGGACUGACUAGCCACUACAAUCAGUUAAUGCAUUUUAUCAUUUCCUAUCACCAUCUGUAAUUUCUACACACACUUCCAUUCAUUUCUAACAACCUAGUAAUCAAUCAAUACAAUGAUCUCACUCAUUGCCACACACGCCAUCCCUAGACUUAACCGACUCAUCUUACCAGUCCGACUCAAUCCUAUCACUUCUUUAACUUCCUGUACCCGACCAUGAGCUAAAACCCUACAAUGCAUAUCCUUUUCGUCUUUUCCUCUUUUCAUCUUUUCCUCUUUUCCUCUUUUCCUCUUUUCCUCAGUGGGUAGCCCCCCACUAGGCUUCUACCCCAUACUCAUGUGGAUUCGCCACAUCUCCUAUGGGUGCCUCCAUAUUCAUGUGGAUUCGCCACAUCUCCUAUGGAUACCUAGCGUGGACUACUUACCCCACCUACUUUCCUUAGACUCUCUAUAUGCUUUCCCACCCAUGCUUAACCUUAACAACGUUCUUUCAUACUUUUACUUAUCCUUUCACUUCCUUAUCGCUAUCGCUUAACCCUUUCCAUUCCCAAUUACUUCCCCUUUUCAUUUCCACUUGUACUAGGACUCAAUCACUAGACGCCACCCGUUAUCGGUGUCACACACAAUACACAUCGCAUUCAAGUUCUACUUCAAUAACUUUUAUAAUCAUUGUUCAUCUAUCACCCUAGCAUUUAUUUCUCUCUAGCAUCCUAACUUCAAUCGCAACCACACAUGGGACAUCACAUCCAAACAUACAAGCAUCACUCAUCAACCAAUCAACAUCACCACAACAUAGAUCAGUUCAUCAAGUCCCGUUAACAGUAUGAGGGUUCUUAUGCAUCAUGAUUCAUUCAUCUAUCAUCCUAGCAAUUAUCAUGUUCUAUCAACCUAACUCUCAAACAGGGUCUAAACAACCUAACUCCAACAUAGAGGAGUAUACAGAAUCAUGAGAGAAGGUUGGGUUCGGGACACUCCACCUUAGCCUAGAUCUGGAUCUGGAUCUGGAUCUGGAGACAAAGGGGAUGAGAUCUGAACAGAUCUGGAACAAGUAAACAAGAGAGACGAGAUCUGGUCACCACCACAACACCACACAUCCACCACCAUCACCACACUCGGACGAUCACCCCAUCACCACUUGGACGACCACCACCACCACCACCGGCGGCUCGGCUUGCUCUCGGGGGACUCACGGCGAGGAGAGAGGAAGAGAACCAACGGAAAGAGAAAGGAGAGGGAGAGGGAGAGAGAGGAGGCGUGAGAGAAGAAGAGAGAAGAGGAAAAGGGAAGCUUGACGGCUAGGGUUUUCUAGUCUCUCUAAAUCUCUGCAGAGCUUCGCUCCAGUUUCAGAAUGAGAGAAAAAUGAGAGGAGGCAGCUUUAUUUAUAGGAAAAGGAGGGAACCCUAGGUCAUUUACCCUAAUGGGCUGCAGUCUUAACGGGCUCUCCUUAAGAAAAUUUUUGGGCUGGGAACCGGGCCGUUACACCUUACCUCUAAUAACCACUCCUAAUGUCUAGCGAGCUAGACUUUUUCACUCUUCCUUGUUGGCUUAACUAAACUGACUAGAUUUUACUUUUUUUUUUUUUUGAAUUUAUUCUUUGUGACCAAAGUUACAACUCAACUCCUCUUUAGCUUCUUUGUUGGCUCUUAUUUCUUCUUCAUCUUGACUUGCAUUUCAAGCUUUCUUCUUCUUCUUCUUCUACUACUUUUGCUUCUUUUUCUCUUGAACACUACCAUUUUUUCUUUGUAG
This 2791-nucleotide long non-coding RNA is filed under the name Brassica rapa (field mustard). RNAcentral's name for it is "long non-coding RNA (BRAP_LNC001844)". The record is from RNAcentral. Lineage: Eukaryota; Viridiplantae; Streptophyta; Magnoliopsida; Brassicales; Brassicaceae.